Molecule: long non-coding RNA, 442 nt
Filed under: Mus spicilegus (steppe mouse)
Lineage: Eukaryota; Metazoa; Chordata; Mammalia; Rodentia; Muridae
Description: lncRNA (ENSMSIG00000002269.1)
Source: RNAcentral
GUGGGGGUGGGACUGGGGCUGGGGUAGGGGGUGGGGUUUGCUCUCUUCUUUCCUUUUGCAAGUGCUGUAAAUGCCCCCUUCCCCAGGCUGCCUCCUCCAGAUCCCUGCUGUGAAAGUUCAGCUCUCUCACAUUUCCUCUGCUCCCAGAGUCUUCCUUCCAGCUGCUCCCUGAUUGCUUCGGUUGCCCAGUGAUAGCAGAGGAAGAAGAAUGGUGAAAAUUCAGAUUGAGAGCUACACCUCUCUGAACUACACUCUUGCGAACAUACUACAGAAGUGUUUAAACAGGCAUGGCUGCUGCUGCUGAAGAGAUGGCUGAGAGUGUCGAUGACAGAGGCUCAUACACUAUUGAUUAAAGCCCUAACCUUUGCUGCUUCAUCCCAAGAGAGCAAAUUUGUAGAGCUUCCAAGAACCAAAACUCUGCCAUGAAGAUGUUGAUAGCUGG